Molecule: ribosomal RNA, 115 nt
Organism: Maricaulis maris MCS10
Lineage: Bacteria; Pseudomonadati; Pseudomonadota; Alphaproteobacteria; Maricaulales; Maricaulaceae
Source: Rfam
CCGGGUGGUUAUUGCAGGGGGACCGCACACGUUCCCAUCCCGAACACGACCGUUAAGACCCCGAGCGCCGAUGGUACUGCAUCUUAAGGUGUGGGAGAGUAGGUCGCUGCCCGGU